Lolium rigidum is the source of this 355-nucleotide long non-coding RNA. RefSeq lists it as uncharacterized. Lineage: Eukaryota; Viridiplantae; Streptophyta; Magnoliopsida; Poales; Poaceae. The record is from RefSeq and is a predicted model, not a curated record. The transcript has 3 exons.
UGUUUUCGUGUUCCUCUCUGCCUGCCUAUUGGCUUAUUUUUUCUCGCCGCCGUUCUUCAUGUCCAGAUUAUGCCCAUGGCCGUAUAUGCUCCAUCUCUGGGGUCAUCGGGUUACUUUCCUGGGUCUGCUUCUAUUGUAUGGUACAAGUGAAUCUGCUGGAAUUACAAGGACUAAUAUAUGCUAAGAAGCUUAUUGUUGAAGAUGCUGCUGGUGCAUUUGCAAAGAUUGCGGUAGCGCCACUAGAGAGGGUCAAAGAACUUACUUCAGGCUCGAACCGGAGGGUUUCAAUCCCUUGGGAUCAUCGGAUCCUUGAGGAAGUUUUGGAAAUACAAGUGAAUUCAAGGUUUUUACAAAU